GGGAGAUUCGUCUAACGGUUAGGACAAGGGAUUCUCAUUCCCUAAAUAGGAGUUCGAUUCUCCUAUCUCCUA
This 72-nucleotide transfer RNA is filed under the name Bacteroidales bacterium. RNAcentral's name for it is "tRNA-Glu". It matches the Rfam family "tRNA". From Rfam's summary of the family: Transfer RNA (tRNA) molecules are approximately 80 nucleotides in length. Their secondary structure includes four short double-helical elements and three loops (D, anti-codon, and T loops). Lineage: Bacteria; Pseudomonadati; Bacteroidota; Bacteroidia; Bacteroidales. The record is from RNAcentral. RNAcentral also lists the same sequence under 2 other names.